GUCUGUUUGAAGGUAUAAAAAGUUUAACCUGCCCACUGAUAAAAUUUUAAAGGGCCGCGGUAUUCUGACUGUGCAAAGGUAGCAUAAUCGUUAGUUUUUUAAUUGGAAUCUUGUAUGAAUGGUUUGACAAAAAAAAAUCUGUCUUUAUAAUUAUUUAUUGAAUUUAACUUUUAAGUGAAAAGGCUUAAAUAAAUUAAAAAGACGAUAAGACCCUAUAAAGCUUAAUAUUAUAUUUUUAUUUAAUUAAAUUUUAAAUUUUAUAUAAAAAUUUGGUAAAUAAAUUUUAUUUUAUUGGGGUGAUAAUGGUAAAAUGAUUAUUAACUGUUAAAUUUUUUAGACAAAAAUAAAUGAAUAAGUAAUUGUUAUAAAGGAUCCUGUAUUAAAGAUUAAAAGUUUAAGUUACUUUAGGGAUAACAGCGUUAUUUUUUUUGAGAGUUCUUAUCGAGAAAAAAGUUUGCGACCUCGAUGUUGAAUUAAAAUAUCUAUAUAAUUGCAGUAGUUAUAUAAGAAGGUCUGUUCGACCUUUAAAAUUUUACAUGAUUUGAGUUCAGACCGGCGUAAG
RNAcentral lists this ribosomal RNA (562 nucleotides) under Chiromantes haematocheir. Its description in RNAcentral is "partial 16S rRNA". The stretch from base 410 to 562 matches the Rfam family "Bacterial large subunit ribosomal RNA", at positions 2473 to 2625 of the family's 2925-position model. Lineage: Eukaryota; Metazoa; Arthropoda; Malacostraca; Decapoda; Sesarmidae. The record is from RNAcentral.